RNAcentral lists this non-coding RNA (27 nucleotides) under Cricetulus griseus (Chinese hamster). The record is from RNAcentral. Lineage: Eukaryota; Metazoa; Chordata; Mammalia; Rodentia; Cricetidae.
GGAUAGGAACCUGGAGGCAGAAACUGA